UCGGGUCCCUGCAGCGACUGCAGUGCUGUCUUCUUCUGCGGCUUUCUGUGCCCUCUCCUUUUCGCUUCCGGAAACAUGGCUUCUGGUAUGGCUGUCUCUGAUGGUGUCAUCAAGGUGUUCAAUGACAUGAAGGUGCUUAAGUCUUCAAUGCCGGAAGAGGUGAAGAAGCGCAAGAAGGCUGUGCUCUUCUGGCUGAGUGAGGACAAAAAGAACGUCAUCCUGGAGGAGGGCAAGGAGAUCCUGGUGGGUGAUGUGGGCCAAACUGUCGACAACCGCUACGCCACCUUUGUCAAGAUGCUGCCAGAUAAGGACUGCUGCUGCGCCCUUUAUGAUGCAACUUACGAGACCAAGGAGAGCAAGAAGGAGGACCUGGUGUUUUAUCUUCUGGGCUCCUGAGUCUGUGCCCCUUAAGAGCAAAUGAUCUAUGCCAGCUCCAAAGACGCCAUCAAGAAGAAGCUGACAAGGAUCAAGCAUGAAUUGCAAGCAAACUGCUACGAGGAGGUCAAGGACUGCUGUGCCCGGGCAGAGAAGCUGGGGGGCGGUGCCGUCAUCUCCCUGGAGGGCAAGCCUUUGUGAGCCUCUUCUGGCCCUCUGCCUGGAGCAUCUGGCAGCCCCACACCUGCCCUUGGGGGUUGCAAGCUGCCCCCUUCCUGCCAGACUGGAGGGGCUGGGGGGAUCCCAGCAGGGGGAGGGCAAUCCCUUCACCCCAGUUGCCAAACAGACCCCCUACCCCCUGGAUUUUCCUCCUCCCUCCAUCUCUGAUGGUUCUAGCCUUCCCAAACUGCUUUUGAUCUUCUGAUUCUUCUUGGGUUGAAGCAGACCAAGUUCCCCUCAGGUCCCCCAGUUGUAGGGGGAGCCUGUAUUUUUUUUAACAACAUCCCCAAUCCCCACUUGUUUCUCCGCCUUCCCAUGCUGCCAACUUCAAAUAGUGAGUCUGUGCUUGUCUGUUUAGUCCUGUAUUUAAAUGGAAUGUUGUGGAGAUGACCCCUCCCUAUGCCAGCUGGUUUCUCUCCCUUUUCCCCUGGUCACUGCUACUCAUGGAAGCAGGACCACUAAGGGACCUUCAAUUAAAAAAAAAAAAGACAAUAAAAAUAAAAUAAAAAAUAA
Molecule: non-coding RNA, 1107 nt
Organism: Saimiri boliviensis boliviensis (Bolivian squirrel monkey)
Lineage: Eukaryota; Metazoa; Chordata; Mammalia; Primates; Cebidae
Source: RefSeq, a predicted model, not a curated record